RNAcentral lists this transfer RNA (76 nucleotides) under Clostridiales bacterium. RNAcentral's name for it is "tRNA-Asn". It matches the Rfam family "tRNA". Rfam says of the family: Transfer RNA (tRNA) molecules are approximately 80 nucleotides in length. Their secondary structure includes four short double-helical elements and three loops (D, anti-codon, and T loops). Lineage: Bacteria; Bacillati; Bacillota; Clostridia; Eubacteriales. The record is from RNAcentral.
GGGCUGUUAGCUCAGUCGGUAGAGCAGUGGGCUGUUAACCCACGUGUCACAGGUUCAAGUCCUGUAUAGCCCGCCA